UCCGACUCCUCAUUCUCUCCGUCGACUUCUUUAUCUCCGAUCUUAACAAAAGUCUUUUGUUUUCUACAGUUUUUAGAGUCUAUUCUCUUACAAGAUCAUCACUGUUUUUUAUUUACAGCUCGAAGAAAUCUGGUAAAAGCAAGAGACUUAGAAAGGGAGGUAAUCGUUUCUGGAAGAACAUUGGUCUUGGUUUCAAGACUUCCAGAGAAGCUACUAAAGGUAAUUAAUUACAUUGUCUUGAAUCUCGUUUGUGAUGUUAUAUGUUAUUGUUGAGUUUAAAUAUUUGAAGAUGCCCCUUGUCACUCUUGAUUCGGAUCCUCUAAUGUUACUGCUUGUGAUUGAUCCUAUAUUUCAUGGCUGAGCAAAUGCAGCAACUGAAAGUGAUAACACUUGAUUUUGACCACUUUCAUGGAUCACUUUUAGUAUCUUAUACAGGUAUUUUCACUCAGUUUUAAAGGUUUUAUAAGUGUUUUCCAUGUUUUGGAGUUUUAAAAGGUUUUUCAGGAAACUUGGAACUUUGCAGUGCAUUUUGGAGCAAAAGUACAUUUUUAGAUAAAUUCAGACCGUCAGAAGUUUGGCAACCAAUGAAUACCUUUUCACCAUCCGAUCAUCCCCAAAUUUGGAGACAUUAUAGAGGAGACAACCAGCUUUCCAACACACUUGGAAUCAAAGCAAUCCAACUGUUAGAUCUCCAGAUAUCAUCAAUGCACUGAAAGCCGAUCAACACAAGUCCAGUCAAGCACAGGUGCUUUCACCCGCGGCCAGCCUUCUUCCCACCGCGGCUCAAGAGGUUUCACCCCCGGUAGAUCUAUGUCCAAACCUCAGGAGCCCAACUAAGGCCCAAGACACUUCCUGUACCCAAUUUACAAGCCCUAGACGCCCAGACUUGGAGAAACACUAUAAAUACUCAUUUUUAUGUCUUUUGUAAGAAAGCCUCUUUCUUCUCUUUGAGAGAGAACUCAUUUGUAGUUUUAGGUUUUAUUUUUAGGGAAAAUUGGAAAUUUAAGACAAAAAAUGGAAGAACUUAUCCUCUUAGUAUUU
Molecule: long non-coding RNA, 1041 nt
Filed under: Eutrema salsugineum
Lineage: Eukaryota; Viridiplantae; Streptophyta; Magnoliopsida; Brassicales; Brassicaceae
Description: long non-coding RNA (ESAL_LNC000684)
Source: RNAcentral